This 253-nucleotide ribosomal RNA is filed under the name uncultured bacterium. RNAcentral describes it as "partial 16S ribosomal RNA". It matches the Rfam family "Bacterial small subunit ribosomal RNA", at positions 524 to 776 of the family's 1533-position model. The record is from RNAcentral.
UACGGAGGGGGCUAGCGUUGUUCGGAAUUACUGGGCGUAAAGCGCACGUAGGCGGCUUUGUAAGUUAGAGGUGAAAGCCCGGGGCUCAACUCCGGAAUUGCCUUUAAGACUGCAUCGCUCGAAUUGUGGAGAGGUAAGUGGAAUUCCGAGUGUAGAGGUGAAAUGCGUAGAGACCCGGAGGAACACCAGUGGCGAAGGCGGCUUCGUGGUCUGCGACUGACGCUGUGGCGCGAAAGCUAGGGGAGCAAACGGG